AACCUAAAACUGAUUUCACCUCGGUUACUGACCAUAUCAACCGACACUGAGGACGCGAAACCAAAACUAAUAACGAUACAGCGGUGCAACACUAACUUGCGGAAGCGCUUUUGUUGUGUCCACAUGUACUCUGUCGCGGUGCUUACGGAUGAUCAGUGUUAGUUAUUUACACGUCAAAAUGAAAAUAUUUGAUAAUUCUCGUGUUUUUUGGCUUUGUAGCUACUUUCUAUAUCACUCCACAACGGAAGCUAUUCGGGUUGUAGAUGGACCGGUAUCCGUCACGGAAGGAGACAGCGCUAAUUUACACUGCGAACUGAUAGAGACUGAUGAUGCUCUGGAGCAGGUAUCCUGGCAGAAAAGGACGCGAGAGAUUCCCGAGAAUAUCAACUUCUUGGUCAUCAUACCCCCCGAAGAUCUUUUGGACGUAUCGCUGCAAGAUGAGGGGGUGUAUACCUGUAUCUUCACGGUGUUCCCAAGCGGGCCGCACCAGACGGAAAUUAGGCUUAAUGUUCGAGGUAAGUUUGGAAGAAAUACAAAAGCCCCC
Non-coding RNA from Paramormyrops kingsleyae, 544 nucleotides. NCBI's taxonomy places the organism in Eukaryota, Metazoa, Chordata, Actinopteri, Osteoglossiformes, Mormyridae. The record is from RefSeq and is a predicted model, not a curated record.